AGUAGGCGGGGGACGGGGGGCAAGGAAGGGCUGAGGAGGACAGGAGAGGGAGUGAACGAACCCUUAUCUAGCCCUGUGAGGGGCAGGCUCCACCAGGACAGACUUAGCACCCCACCACAGGGCUGAAAGCCAGCGCCCCCUUUAUCUCUUUGCCUUGCAUGCCUACUUCGUGAUGCUGAAACCCAAACAUUGGUGACCGAGCCAUUAGCGUACUGGAAUGUCUCUGAAGCCUGCAGCCCUCUCACUGCUGUCUCAGGCACAGGACUCAACUCUAGCCUCUCCCUUCAGUCCUCAUGUGCAGAAGAGCGACACCUUCCGUCCUUGCCCAGACAGCUCAGUGUGCGGAAAAGCGGCCUGGCCCAGUGAAUGCAGUACAGACAAGUGAAACUGCCUUGUGUUUUUUUCUAAGUUUCCUUUUCAGAACCGACACCUGGCAGGUCAAGAAACAAAAGGCGUGUUUUCAGAGGGACCUCGUUCUUACAGGAAGAUUUCAAGUGAUGAUUUUAAUUCAUCUAGCUGCCUGUUUUCAAAAUCACCGGAUAAAUGGUCACACGACUCCCAUCUUUCAGUAGCUUCGUUGUUUCUUGUCAGAGCCUAAACUCUAAAAAGCUUGAUUCUUCCAGUGUCCGAACUAAUCCCUGUUUAGAUGAUGUCUUCAGAAGCUGUAUUAACUUUUGUAGUGGCUUGAGAAAUGAUACUCUUUGGUUGGGUUUGGGCCGAAGACUUCAAAGAUGCCCAAGUGAAUUUCAGGAAUGGGUUCAAUAUAGGAUCAAAUUCACCUUUAACCAAUUGCCGUUGAGUCAAUUCCAACUAUAUUCUUGUAAUUGGACCCUGUAGGACAGAGAAGACCUGCCCCACAGGUUUCCCAAGGCUGUAAAUCUUUUUGGAUGCAGACCGCCACAUCUUUCUGCAGAGCGGCUGGUGGGUUUAGACUUCGGACCUUUCUCUUGGCAGCCAGACACUUAACCACUACACCACCAAAAAAAAAAAAAAAAAAACACCACCAGAGCUCCUUAAAUUCACCUUUAGCAGGGGCUAUUCGGCUCAUGCCUGGGAACUUCCAGUGUUUUUGUGAAACUAUCCAGGAUUGUGGACAACACUUAAAGUUAGUAUUUGUUGCCGAUGUGUUUGUGGCUCAAGAGAAAGCAUUAUAAAAAAUAUCUAGGAAUCUCAGAAGUAAAGAAGUCUUAGGGUUCCAGAAAGGUAUCAUUGCAGUAAAAAAAAAAAAACUAGUGCCAUCGGUAGAUCAUGCAAUUCAGAGAUAAGAAUUGAGAACAAGAAAAGGUGACUACAAACAGGUGGCACUGAGAGAAGAAGAUAGGAAUUUCUUCUAUCCUGCUACUCCCAGCUCCCACCUCUCUCAUCAAAAUAGAAUAGCGAAGACAAAGGAUUUUAAGAUGUGAUUAAAAUGGGUUGAAAUGGCCUUAAAUAAGAGGGAUGGUAUCUGCUUUAAAACACAUCCUGUUAUACCUCAGCGAAAAUUUCUAUUUAAAAAUAAUCCUCAGUAGUGAAAAGAUUUUAAUCACUUAGUCAAGCUUAAAAUUUUAUCUUUUUGGGAUGAAGACUAUGCUGUUCCGUUUAAUACCAUCCAAACACUGGAGGAGAUAACGUCAUUUUUGUAAAUCAUGUCACGUUUCAAAGAGACAGCAAUUACCCCCCCCGUGACUCUGCCUCCAUCCCCAUUUCUCAUUCUGAGAAUUCAUUUCUUGAAUUGUCUUCUGAAACUCUUACCAGGAGCCCUUCGCGCCUCCUUGAAACUCCUGAUGUGGGACUAUUUAAAAACAAACAUUAUGUUAAGGAAAAACACUGAGUUGUAUGAGUAUAGUAAACUCACAGGAAGAAGGAAAAAGUCCUUCUACAGAAUUCCAAAAAUUAGAGUGAAAAUAGGUAAGACAGUUUUCAGAGUUCCCAUUUCUUCUGGACAGGAGAGACUGAAGUAGAUCAUAAAGAAGGUAUGUUUGAAGAUGUCAAAGGCACACUGUUCUUGUACCCACUUUGAGAUGAUUGGUCCUUAAAAACUGUUUCCUGUGAGACUGGAAACAUUUUAAAGACAAGAGGGUUAAAACACACUUAGAAAGCUGUAUUAGCGUUUGAAACAAAACAGUUAAUUGCUUGUUCUUAAAAGGAACUCUGUUUGAAGUUGUGCCAAAGAAUCAACUGGUAACAUAUUCCUGACAGACAAAGUUGGUAAUAAAUUAGGCCCACUUCGAUAGAGCCUGCCUUGUCUCUAGGAAUUUGUAAUCAGUGAAAUAUCAAAAAUUUUUAAAAAGGCAACUAUGAAAUGAACCUUAGAGGACAACUUCCGGGGCAUGUGCAGGAAGCAAAAGAAAAUGAGAUAAACAGAUAAGAACAUUCCUGGGUCAUGACGUAGCAGAAGCCCACAGGAGCGGCCAGGCCUUGGCUGCCCCAAGCUUUCACUUGGUCUACCAUCCUGUCCUCCACUGCCCUAGUUUAAGAGAGGGGGAAACUGAGACCAAAGAAAGGAUAUUAUUUGUCCAAGCUCACUUUUUCUGAAGCUAGUUGGAAGCAGAUUUUCCCCACCCUCCAAAGUGCCUUAAUAUUCCAAAAUAAGCCUUUCCUCUUCCCUGUAGUAAUUAGGCAAAAACAAAACAAAAAAAUGCAAAGAAAUAACAGAUCCAUUUCUCGGGUCUGUAUGGUUUCUAAAUGUAAAUGCUAUGAGGCUGCAAUUGUGAAAGGGAAAGAAGUUAACUUCUCCUGGAGAAAGGGGCAACAUGGGAAUAUAAUUUCCUUCCCUGAUCCUGAUUUCAGCUAAGUUUCAGUUAGAGAGCAGUUUGGUAGAGUCCUACUAGAGCGUGAAUGAUUGGUAGAUGCAUCUUAAAAAGUAGAGCUGUUUAUCACACACGCAGACGCGUGCUUGCGGGCGGCUGUGGACCUUUCUGAAGCCCCAUUACCUGUAUUGCUCCUUCCACCGUUAAUCUCCACACCUCAACACAUCCAAAGAGCAAGGUCAGCGUCUUGGCAGGGCUUGGAGAGGUUCUGGAGAGAAUCUCGAGUAGCCAAAGAAUUGCCCCUGAGGUAAAAAUCCCAAAACCAAACCACUUGCCGUCAAGUCGAUUCCAACUUAUGGUGACCCCAUGUGUUGCAGAUUAGGACUGUGCUCCACAGCGUUUUCCUUUCAGAAGCAGAUCACCAGGUCUUUCUUCUGAGGUACCUCUGGGUGAGUUCGAACCAUCAACCUUUCUGUUAUUAGUUGUGUGCUUAAGCGUUGGCACCACCCAGGGCCUCCACCUCUCAGAUAUGGGGUGUUAAACCCCAUGGGGUGGUGGUGAUGGGGACAGUGACAGGAAGGCUGGUAUGGGUCAUGUCACAGGCAACAGCACUACUUCCUUUCCUCAGUGGGGCCAAGAGGUGAGCAGUGGGCAGGUCAGUUCCUGCUGCUGGUCUUUUGGCUUACUACAGUCAAGUCACAUCUGUCCUGCACCCCCUGCCGCUUCAUUGGGUGCUGGCUACUCCUUGGGAGACCCUUUCCCUUGAGCACCUUUGCUUGAUGGUGGUACCUCACAUGUGUGGUCAUAUGUGUAUGAUCUUUGUAUGGUCUUUGCAGCUUUUUAAUAAAACAGUAGGGGGUUAGGAGCAGGGGUGGGGUGUAGAGGAAGCCACCACAGAGUGUGAAGUGCCCUUUCCCUCCCAAAGAGUGUGAAGUGGCCUUUCUCCCGGGAAAAGCUCUCAGCGUUAACAGUUUUCCAUUUUUCAGUGGUAACUGUAUGGAUGCUUGCAUUUGGGAACCACAUCAACCCAAGUGUGUGUGUGUGUUGCCUCAUUAAUUUAGCAACUUUUCUUUUCAAGGAUCUUUUUGAGGCAGGGGGAAGUCUGUAAGAGCUAUGGGCUUCCUUGGGGGUCACUGUCAGAUCUGAGAUGCUGGAGGAGGAGUCAGCAUAUGUCACUGCCUGGUAAUGAGGGGACAGAAGUCAGCUUUGAUCUGCUCCUGCAGAGAAGGUGUAGCUCUGACUUAACCACUCCAGGAAAGGAAGGGGAAGUAAGGGAUAGAAUUACCCAACUACAGGAUGGAGAGAACCCAGCCAGUGUAAUUGGCCUGGAUAUCUGAUAAAAGGUCUUGCGAAGCCUUAUUUGAAAAUGGAAUUCCAUCUUGGCAUGGCCUUAGCACCACUUCUGAAAUGGAAACAAGCUGGAGAAGGGUCAGCAAAUGGCCCAGGAAAAACAUCUUUAGGAUGACUGAUGCAGAAAUGGGCUCUGCCGUCUUCAUGCUGUCUGUUAAUGCACUCAGGAAGAGCUUGCUGAGAUGUUCAAGUAACAUUCCACGAGAAGUAACUCCGAGCUCUAGGAAGAACUGGGGGAGAGGAAUGUGGGGAAGAGAAGAGAAGAAGAAGAAAAAAAAAAAUCGGGCUAUUGGCUUGAAAUGGCAAAGGAUGUCUCAACAUUCAAUUUCUCUCAAGCUAAAUCCUGUUGUGUUUUGAUGUCACUAAGCUGCAGUCACAGAUUGUUGUUGUUAGCUGCCCUUAAGUCGGCCCUUGACUCACGGCAACCCCAUGCACAACAGGAUGAAUCGCUGCCCUGUCCUGCUCUAUCGCUGUAACCGACUGCGAAUUGGACCGUUGUGAUCCGUAGGGUUUUCAUUGUCUGAUUUUCAGAAGUAGAUCGCCAGCCCUUCUUCCUAGUCCACCUUAGUCUGGAAGCCUCACUGAACCCUGUUCAGCAUCACAGCCACAUGCCAGCCUCCACUGACAGAUGGGUAGUUGCUGCGGAUUGGGUGCACUGGCUGGGAAUUGAACUCAGGUCUCCGGCAUGAAACGUGAGAAUUUCACCACUGAACCACCACUGCCCCAACAGUCACAGAUUACGGAGGGCUUAUGCCAGAUGAAUAUGUACCUCAAGCAUAGUAGGUGCUCAACAAACGUUCCCAGAAUGAAUGACUGUUGCUGUGUUUAUGUUUCGUGAAGGAGCGGAGCAGAGCAGAGAAAGGAAGAUCCUCAAGAAAUGGCCUUGAUAUCCCAAAACCAAACCCACUGUCAUCGAGUCGAACCCGACUCAUAGUAAAUUAGGAAAUGAUUGAACAUGGUUAAGAAAGAUUAACUAAGGGUAGAGGGGAAAUUGGAAAACGUUUUCCAAAUGUUUGUCUUAACUGUGAAAAACGUCUGGCCAGCAAACUCCCCCCAGCCCCCAAUUUGGAAGUGGUUUGUUUCAGUUGUUUUGGAAGAAAUAAAUAUUUGUGUUAGACCAAACAUUUGGGGCAAACAGUUUUCCCCAGUUCUGAGGAUCUGUGCAAGCUGGAGGAGAUGGUUCAUGCAGAUAACACUCAGACCUUUUUUGGCCAAGUUGAAGGUAGCUUAGGACACAGUCUUCACAUGCUUUUCACAUCACUACUCAAAAGAGGCUGAGCAAAUGGAAAGAAAAUAUGGAGCCAAGCAAUGAUCCUUCCAGACAUAGGAAUGGCUGAUGACCUGGCAUCUGAAGGAUGUAAUCGUUAAAGAAAAAUUGCCUUUCUGCUCAGGAGAAGGGAGACUGGAUCCAAUUAAGACAAGAAAAACGUAUGUUCACUCAGAAGAAAAAUGUCUAAACAGUCAAUUCUGUAAUCCUCUCUGAAGGGGGAAGAGGCCAAUGCGAUGGGGCUUUAUGGGUGAUGCCAAACCCUGUGAUAUAUAAUAAUUAGUAACCACUCGUUAUUUUGCCUCAAGCUUAUUCUCCAGACCACUAACCAUGGCUUGGGAUGGAAUGCGCCGGGCCUAGAGAUUUGCCCCAGAUGUCUUCCCAUCAGUAGUUCCCAAUUAGAGGGAUUUUUUUUUUUUUAAAGCUUAAUUCUCUCAAAUAUAUAGCAAAAUAUAAAUGAAGGAAGGAAAAACCUGAUUUUCUCAGAUGGUUCAGUUGGUUACCAAGGUGAGGGCUAGUCUUAGGGGACCCUUCAAAGUACACUUCUUAGUUUACAUUUCAGUAACGGCUGGGUGACUAAUUGUUUUACACCAUGGUGCCUGGUAUUCUCUCUAGUCUUUUGGGUAGCUUAAAAAAAGCACUUCAGGAAUGACUGUGAGAGGGUAGAAAUUUGAGAGGCUGAUCUGGAGUCACUGUUCUUCCUGGGGAGACCUGGUGGCACAGUGGUUAAGAGCUCGGCUGCUAACUGAACGGUAGUUUGAAUCCACCAGCCACUCCUUGGAAACCCUGUGGGGGCAGUUCUGCCCUGUCUUGUAGAGUCACUAUGAGUUGGAAUUGACUCAACAGUAACGGAUUUGGUUUUUUUGGGUUCUUCCUGGGCAAGCUCUGAGAAGUGAACCUGUGACUGUAAUUUCUAUCACCCAGGGGGUGCCCGUGCACUCUAAAUAUCUGCCUUAAAAAAGAGAGCUUGGGGUUCGGUAGGAGCAAAGUUCUUAGGGAAUAGCCCUGGAUUGGCCUCUGCUACUUAGGAAAAAAAAAAAAAAACAUGUUCUUUUUACUUCAUGAGUGCUGUUCAUCCAGUGUUUAGGUGGUAUUUACUGUGCCCUCGGCUUCAUGCUAAAGUCCCUGGGUGGUUGCAAAUGGUUAACCCACUUGACUGCUAACUGAAAGGCUGGAGGUUCGAGUCCACCCAAGGCACCUUGGAAGAAAGGCCUGGUGAUCUACUUCCAAAAGAUUCACCAUUGAAAAGCCUAUGGGGCACAGUUCUACUCUAACAUAUACGGGUCGCCAUGAGUAGGAGUCGACUCCAUGGCAGCUAGCGUUUUGGCACCAUGCUAGGCUAGGAUGAGCAGUGGAGUCUCCCAUCUUCUUUCUAAAAGAAUCAUUAAAAAACUAUAAGGCCCUUUUGUGCCCCUCAUUUUAUUUGAUCCUUACAGUCCUGUGAGGUAUGUUUUAUUCUUGCCCCUUACAGAUGAAGCAUCAGAGGCUCAGAGAGGUAAAUGACUUAAUGACUUGCCCAAGAGCCCCAGCUACUUCCAGAGCCUGGACCCGGUGGCAAGCUGGUCUCCACAGCUACUUCAUCACAGCUGCUGUCUCCAAUAAUCUUACUGACUACUUGGAACGCCAACACUAACAUAUGUUGUUGCUGUUAGGUGCCGUUGAGUCAGUCCAAACUCAUAGCGACCCCAUAGAGCAGAGUAGAGCUGCCAUGUAGGCUUUCCAAGGAGCAGCUGGUGGAUUUGAACUGCUGACCUUUUGGUUAGCAGCCAAGCUCUUAACUACUAUGCCACCAGUGCUCCAUAUAAACAUCCAUAUAGGAGACAUUAAAAAAUGAAUUAAGUGUGUGGACGUGACUUACCAUUAGAUAGGAGUCAUUCUAUUUAAUUUUUAAGAGUUUGAAAUAUUCUCACAAACAGUGCAUGCCUGCUAAAGAAGAUUCCAACGACAAUGCAAAACAUUAAGAAGGAAGUCAAAAUCUCUCUCCUCUCUUGUGCCCCUUCUUCUGGUUCUGCCUUGCAAGAUAAUGCCUGUCAGCACUGAGGUGGAUGUUUUUCCAGACCUCUGUCUAUACAUGCACAUAUGAACGUGUAGAUUUAAUUGUAUACAAAAAAGCAUCCUAGAAUACACGCUGUUCUGCAGCUGUUUUCAGUCAACAGUGUGUUGUAGAGCUGUUCCGUAUCUGUGUUUAUAGUUUCCCAUGAAAUGGAUGGGUGUUAGCAAAAAUUGGGAAGGAUUUUGGAAGUGGGCAAAAGAUGACUGAGUGUCGUGUCACUGGCAUGCUGGAUGUUUGCAGCAGAUCCUAGGGGUUACCCAAUUCUGAAGGGGCCUGUCUGUGCUUUUCGUUAUCUUGGACUUGUUUUCUAAUUUAUUUAAUCAGGUCCCUAUAGUGGGCCAGUUAGGUUUUCCAAUUUUUAAAUAUAACUAAUGUAGGAAUAGCCUUGCCAUUAUAUAUAUUUUAUACAUCAUUAUGCACCAACUCUAUGGGGCAGUUCUACUCUGUCCUAUAGGUUCGCUACGAGUCGGAAUCGACUCAACGGCAGUGGCUUUGGUGGGUUUCAUGCACUUACCUAAAAACUUAAAAUUUUUUUUUUCCUAUGGGGAUAUCUGCCUAAUAACAUUGGCCGUCGAGCCAUUUCUGACUCACAGUGACCCUAUAGGACAGAGUAGAACUGCCCCCAUACGGUUUCCAAGGAGCAGCUGGUGGACUUGAACUGCUGGCCUUUUGGUUAGCAGCCAAGCUCUUAGCCACUGUGCCACCCGGGCUCCAGUGAUCCCAGUGAUCUACAAAGUAUGUUUUUUUUAUGAGAAUACUCGUAAGGUGAGGUGACAUUUUUGAGACCUUUCGGAUUUAACACCCCUCACCUCAGAGUCUUUUCUGUGUUAUUCAAAGCUUGGAUUUCAUUGCCCUUCGAUUUUGCAUGUAUAAAUCAGGCAGGGGAGAAUACAGGCUUAAAUAACUAGCCUGCAGCUUUGUAAAGGUGGUCCCAUAUUUCUCUCUUUGGAUCCUCGCCACCACUCUGUGAGGUAAAACUGUUAGCUAUAAUAAUUCAAGCUCAGAGAGGUGAAGCAGUUUUCCAGGGUCACACAGCAAGUGCCUGCUUUUGCACUUCCCCCUCUAGUGCUAACCCAUUACAUCUUUACGUCUAAGGUCUUUCGCAUUUGUUUGGACACUGCACAACUCUUGGGGCAUUGUUCACAUCAUAGAGAUAGUCAUUUCCAGAUGUAUCAUGACAGGUGUCAGGAAGUUUCUUGAGGAAGGGGCACCCUUUCCGAAUUCUCACAAAGGUGUGGCAUAUGGUGAUGGUAGUCCCUUUCAUGUCUUUUGCUCUUGUCUUACCUGGUACCAUAUUGUCACCCAGGAGUUUUCUGUGGCUUUUCCGUCAGUAACUACUUUGAUUGGAGAUUUCCAUACAAUUUACCUAGGUGAGAGUCAUAUGAUUCCCACCUUUGUUACACACCUUGAGAAUUGAAAGCUCAAAUAAAAAUACUAUUUUUUUUUUUUUUUUAUGGGGCCCUUCCAUCCCAUUCUGCCUCCCUCCCUACAUCCCUCUAAGAUGGGCUUGGCAUGAGGGCAGAGUCAAAAGCCCAAGGUCUUUAAGAUUUUUGUGAGUAUCAGAGGAGAGAGUGGCAUUUGCUUCCCUGGAAACAGUGGAUGUGUUAGCCUGCGGUCCUCCGUGUGGCUCAUUGCCCUUCUGCCUGGAAGCAGCAGACUGACUAACCCCAGAGAGGCCGCCCCUUAAUUGGAUGAUUAGCCUGACAUGGUUGUGCGGUCGGUGUCUUCUCAGAGUGCAGAAAGGAGCUCUGCCACACCAAGGGCAGCUCCUUCCUUCCCCCGAGAAGGAAUCUGAGGUCCCAGGGAAUCCCACAUGGGCGGCAGUGCCAGGGCAGAAACAGGCUCCAAGUGCGCCAGGUCCCCAGGCCUGGCUUUCCCCCCAAGCUGGCUGGACAGCUCUAAUAAUACUGAUUCCCAGGCUCUGCCCCUGAGGUACUGAACCAGAAGCUCAUGGGCAGAGCCUGGGAAUCUGUAUUUUAAAAACUCCCCAGGAGAGUCUGAGGAUUGGCCAGGCUUGGCAAUCAUUGGUCUGAAGAACCUUCUGUCUAACUGGUUUUCUGAGCCUCUUCUGAGAUUAUCUCAGGAGACUGUACUGUUACCCUGACUUCCGAAAUAGGAACUCUCCUCUGCAGCUUCUCUAACAGGUAGUUUCUGGCCUCUGCUUGAAUCUCUUUGGUGAUGGAGAUCUCACUCCCUCAACCAAGGCAGCCCAUUCCAUUUUGAACAGCAGUGAUGAGGAGAGAAGUUUCUUGUCUCACCUACCAAAUUGAAAACUCUCUGAUGUCUGGGACUAGGACUCUUCCUUUCUUUCUGUCUCCCUGAGACUCACCAAUGUUCGCGGUAAGCCCAAGAAUGCCUGGAGGCAAUGUUAACCCAUUAGGUACUGGUUCUGUUCUUUGUGGGUAUCAAAAAUAAAUUUAAGUACCGUGCUCGUUUAAACAAAUUAUCUAUAUGAGACCAGAUGGAUGACAGUUACUCUGAAGGAUAGAUGAGAAGUUUGGGGGGCAGUGAGACUAAGUUAAUGGGAGUAAAACAACUAGAACAGAAAUAAUAAGAAUGUUGACACAACGUGAAGAAUGGAACCCAUGUGAUGGAACAUCAUGUGUAGAAGUUGUUGAACGGGAGCAGGUUUUGCUGUGUAUAUUUUCACCAAAAAUACAAUAAAAUAUUAAAAAAAAAAAUGUACCCACUCUUGAUGUGGAGGCCCAUCUGGUAUCAGCGACAGCAGUGAUGCCCCACUGCAGAACGAAAACCAGCACCCCACAUAUGCCUAUACCCAUGUUUUCCUCACCUCAAGCUCAAGUAAGAGAUACGUUCAACCAAGGGUCCGACUCUGCUAGCAGAUGGCGGCGGUGUUGGUAACAUCCCAGAAAGCUUAAGGAUGUGGAAGUUUAAUAACCUGCCAGAGGUGGGGUCAACACACCAUUUUUUUUUUUCUGUUCAAGGUAAUGUGGCAUCUUCUCUUGCUGUUAAGUGCACCGAGCCAGGCUGUUUCAAUUCCCAUUGAAAACUCAGUCGGCAGCUGCAGUGAAAAGGUGGCAGGGGAGGGAAAGCUCUACCACCAACGUGCUGCAUGAGCUUAGGUGGGCUGCUUGACCUCUCUGAGCCAAGCUUUCCUCAGCCGUAUAAAUGUGCAGCUUGGCCCAGGUGACCCCCGGGGCUCUUUCUACCCUUUGGAUCUUGAGAAUUUGCCAGUACAUUUUCCCCAGAUAGUAAUUCACCUGUGGGUACUUGAUAAUAAAAUUCGAUGAGCAGGCAUUACACAUUAAAAUGAAAAUUACUCCAAGGAGAGAUUUAGGCCCAGGAGGGGUUUACCUGAGUAAUAGAAACCAACAGGAAUAAGCCCUGCCGCCACUGCUAAUUUCAUUGAUGCCUGCAAUCUAAGAAAGGCUGAUAUAUGAUUCUAGUAUUUUCCUUAGUGGAUUAUAGAGAGGGAAAUUAAAUCAAAAGUCAAAAAUAAACACAGUUUGAUUGUUCUACACUACAUUAUCUUAAUAAGCAGUCUUCCUGGAAAGUUUAAAAAUACACAGUGCUCUGUCUGACCAAAGAAAAUGAUAAGUAAAUAUUGUUGAGAAAAUGUAAGAAUUUUCCGCCUAGGAGAUAGGAAUGAUGGAAACACUGCCACUUGGACUUGCAGACGUCCGGCCAGGAGCUGGGAACAGGUCAGCAUUACCUGGGUUUAAAGGCUUAUGGUUGGCAGCACUGGUGUCACAUCUGGGGGAAGGGGCUGGCUGUAGGUACAGGCACUGCUGCACCUUCUUAUAGGAUCCUGGCAAGUCCUGACCCACAUCUUCAUUCUGCUGCAAUGUCCAGUCUAGAUGUCUGCCUUAUCUUGACUGGUGACUCACAGGUUUCGUAGCCUCAAUGACCCUGAGAGGACUGGUGGUUCACGUCUGCUUAAUUUCUCCACAGCUGCAAGAGGCAAAAAGUGGACACUGGUGAUCGGGUUCUAGUUCAAGCCUUGUUGCUAACUUGCCUGAGGCUGCAAUUUAGCCUCUCUGGUAACUUCAUCAUCUGAGUCAUAAUAGAAGUUAAAAGUCAAGUGACAAGCAGGGAAAAUAGCCCUAAUAUAUACAGUACUCUUACAAAAAUCAGACUGAGAAGCUAGAAAUAUCCAAUAGAGAAAUGAGGAAAGAACAUGAAGAAGUAAUUUGCAAAAGAAGACAUAGCCAGUAAACAAUAUGUAUCAGGCAGGAGUUUUGGUUGCAUGUGACAGAAAUUCAGUCUCAACUAGUAUAGACGAGGGAGAACUCAGAGGGAAGGAUACUGGGUUAGCUUGUAUUUCAGCAGAAGGGUGAGAAGUACAGGGACCAGGCUGACCCUGAACACUACCAGCAUUCUUUCUCUCUCUCAUCUUGCCUCUCCUGAUCUACCAGCUUCACGGUUGCUCCGUGUUUCUCAUAUGGUGGAGAAACAUGUCAUGUGCAAGCUCUCAAUGGCUUUAUAUCUUGUAACUUCCACCAGUGGAGAGAAACUGGCAUUUUCCUCUAUAAUUCUGAUUUGAAAAAUCCUAAGGAAUUACUGAUUGGCCUGUCUUGUGUCAGUGGACCACCUUGGAACAAUCAACUUAGAUUGCAGGCAGCAAUUCUUGGAUUCAAUUAGCUUAGAUUGCAGGCCAGAGGGGUGAAGUCACGUGAGAACAUAGUGGCUCUUGCUAUAGCCAGAGAGGAUGGGGCUUGUAGGUGGGGAGGUGGUUUCUAGAGAAAAGGAGAGGGUACUUACUGGUCUGAAGGCAGACUACACAUGAAAAGAUCCCCAAUCUCACUAGUGAUGAAAGAUACACAAAAAUUAUGAGAGUUUUAUUUUUCCCUGUUAGGUUGGCAGAAAUCUGAAAGAUUGAUAAUUACCCACUUAAGAAUGUACGGGUAAGGAGGUUCUUUUAUCCAUUACUUUCCCAUUGCUGAUAAUCACUACCACUGCCGUUGAGUUGAUUCUGACUCACAGUGACCCUGUAGGACAGGGUAGAACUGUGCCAUAGAGUUUCCAAGGAGAGUUUGGUGGAUAGGAGUGUAAAUUGGUAAAUCUUUCUCAGUAUAUUCUUCAAAAGGCCUAAAAAUGUACGUAACUGCUGACCUCGAAAUGCCAUUUCUAAGUUUUGAUCUUAAGGAAAAAUAAGUGGACAAAUGAUAUGUAGGAGACUAUAGAGGAUUUUAUCAUAGAAAUUGGAAACAACUUCAGUGACUGUCCACACAGGAUAAAUAAAAUGAAUUUUGGCAUAUUCAAGUAAUGAAAUCCUGUAGCCAUUAAGAAAGAGCCCUGGUGACGCGGUGGUGUAAGCAUUUGACUGCUAACCGAAAGGUUGGCACUUCAAAACCCCCAGCAGCUCCGCGGGAGAAAGAUGUGGCAGUCUGCUUCCCUAAAGAUUACAGCCUUGGAAACCUAGGGGGAAGUUUUCUUCUGUCCUAUAGGAUUGCUAUGAGUUGGAAUCAACUCUAUGGCAGUGGGCUUGGGUUUUAAAAAUUGUGGAGAUCAUUUCUUAUUGACAUGGAGAGAUGAUCGUGAUACCGUGAAAGGAGGUUAGGAAAGCCUGGAAUUUGCACAGUGAGUAUACGUUACACUUAGAAUUAGAAGAACAAAGUUAGUUCCAUGUGGGGACAGGGAAUCACAUUCAGUGCUUUGUUAAUGUAGGCCACCUGAUAGGACCAUAAAGAAAUAAAAUCCCUAAAAAAUAAAAUAAACAUGGCAGGCUUUGUGCAUGUCCUCCUUAGCAUUUUACCAUGGGAAGUCAUAAGCUUAUUCCAGCUGUGUGGCUGGAGUUUCUCCUUGGACCUGCUUGAUGACCGAUUACCUAAUGGAAUGUGUGAAUAAAUGCCUUAAUUCAUCUCACCAAAAAAAAUCAAACCUGUUGCUGUCGAGCCAAUUCCAACUCAUAGCGACCCUAUAGGACAGAGUAGAACUGCCCCAUAGGGUUUCCAAGGAGCAUCUGGUGGAUUUGAACUGCCAACCUUUUGCUUAGCAGCCGCACUCUUAACCACUACGCCGCCACCAGGGUUUCCUUAGUGCAUUUAGUACACUUUUUUUGUGUGUGUGUCUCCUAGGUGGUGACACGUAUUUGUCUUUCAAGUAUGAAUUCGACUUUGAGAAGAAAAUCCUUUAUUGUCAAAAUUUGUUGAUAUUCACAAAAAAAUUCCUUUAGUGUCAGGUUUGAUGCAUAAGGCAGGGACCCAAAAGGGUGGCAGUUUUGCAGGUGGGAAGUGGGCAGAAUUAAGACUGAAAUGAAGAAUGGGGCUCUGUCUAGGACCUCUCAAGUCUGCCAGGGCACCUGCCUGGUUAGGCCGGGGCUCUUCUGAGUGGGUGGGAGGUCAAUAUUUGCUUUGAGAGGAACUACCUGGCAGGUGCUUUUAUUCUAACUUCCUGUCUCCCUUAUUAUGCUUGAAGGCUGUGGGAGGGAAGAGCUUGGUCCUUGUCUGACAAGCUGGGAAGUUGAUGAAGAGACCCGGUGACUGUCUGGAAUCCUGUGACCAGGGGGGCACCAGCUCUGGCUGGUGAACUAAUGACCAGAUAAUGAGCAGAGACAUCUUUGGGGCGUGCAAAAUUGGAUUCAGUUUAACUGGAAUGUACGUCCCACCUCCUGGAUGUGUAACACAGAGCAAGGUGCUGCAGGAAUGCAAGAUGAAAGAGAUUGCUCCUCCCCUUUGGGAAGUUCCAGUCUAGUUGUGGCAAAGACAAGUCCAUGACCAAGUACAUAAUGAGAUUGACUAUGCAUACAAAGACAGUUGUGAUGGGGGGAGGGAUCAGUAAAGGUUUCAGAGAGAGGUGGCAUUUGGGCUGCACCUUGAAAGCUGGUGGCUGAUAGUAUGACAGCCACGGUUAACGGAGCCCCUACCAGAUGUCAGGCCCUGUGAAGGGAGCUUUAUAGUUAUUUUUCACUACAGGAGCCCAGGUGGCGCAAUGGUUAAGUGCUCAGCUGCUAACCCAAAGGUUAGCAGUUCGAGCCCACCGAGCUGUCUGAGGGAGAAAGACCUGGUGAUCUGCUCCCUCAAAGAUUACAGCCUAGAGAACCCUAUGGGGGAGUUCUGUUCUGUCACAUGGGGGUUGCUAUGAGUAGGACGGCACCAAAGAACAUUUUUCACUACAGCCCUAUGAGUUAAUUAUCAUUGUCAUUUGCAGAUGACAGAUUCAACAGAGAGGCAAGUACUUGUCAAAGAUCACAGAACAGAGAAGUGUUGAAGCUGAGAUUAACCUUAGAGCCCGUGCAGUGGGGAGAAUUCCAGCCAUGAGGUUACAGGGUGGAGUGUGGUGGAGACAGGCUCUGGCAGUGGGGAAGGCAGAGGCCAACAGUGGUGACUGGGGGGAACAGUUCCAGGUGGUUCCCUUUACCUGGAGCAUGGAGUCUCUGUAGGGGAGCAAGGGGCAGGAAGGCUAGAGAAGUAGAAAAUGAUAUCAGAAGGUCUCUGAAUGUCAAGCCCAAAAAUCCAAGUGUAAAUUUUUAGGCACAAGGGAGCCACUGAAUGUUUUUGAGCAGAGGGAGCUGAUACUAGCUUGAAGACGCUGGACCUGGCAACAGAGAUCAUGAAACCAAAUGGACAGUGGUCCUGAGAAGCAUGUGCGGAGGACCAGCAUCCUGGAAAAACAAGAGGAUGUGGGCUGGGUGGGAGAAGAUUUGGGGGCUGAGUCUCCAGAAUUUGGCAUCUGAUGGGAUGUAGAAGUAAGUGGAGGGACAAAACUAUGAAGUCCGAGCCCAGAUGACAUGGCAGGGCAGUCAGGAGAGCCGCUGGCCCUGGUGAACGGUGUUAAGCUGUUUUGGCCUCAUUAGGUGGAGGAAGGAGCCCUGGUGGAGCAGUGAUUAAGAGCUCCAUUGUUAACCAAAAGGUCGAGGGUUCAAACCACAAGCCUCUCCUUGGAAACGCUAUGGGGCAGUUCUCCUGUGCCCUGUAGGGUCUCUAUGAGUCAGCAUUGACUCCAUGGCAACUGGUUAGGUGGAGGAAGGAGUCCCUGGGUGGUGCAAACUGAUAAUUGUGCUUGGCCACUAUUUGAAAGGUUGGAGGUGUGGGUGGUCCAAAGGUACCUUGAAGAAAGGCCUAGGAUCUGUUUCCGAAAUAUCACAGCCAGUGAAAACCCUAAGCAGCAGAAUUCUAUCUGGACACACAUGAGGGUCGGCAUGAGUUGUUACGCAGAGGAUGGCCAGCGGAGCCUGGGAGGCUGCAGAGAUCCCCCAGGCCAGAGGCGAGGAUUCGGAGGACCGAGCACAGCAGCAGCUGUUGAAGAAACAGUAAGAGUAGAUGGCGUCCAUUGUUCUUCCCUGUCCAGCAGCACUCCCUCUCUUCCUGCUAAUAGCACCUCAAUUUUUCUUGGGGAACCCGUUCUCUCCGGUAUUGGGUCUCUGUAGUUGGGUGGAGGUGACUCCCAUUGGCUCCAUACACCGACACGUGAUUGGCCCUAGCCAAUCAGAGCACACCUCUCUGGCCUCAGGCGCUGCUUCUGGGAUGAGUGUGUGUGUCCAGCCAGGUGGGUGGUUUUCUAAAUGUCCAGAAAGGGCUGCUCAUCCUCUGCUGGGGUUGGCAAACUGGUGGGAGAGAAGCCAGGAGCUGCUGGUGGCUCUCUGCCACAGCCUGAGAAUAAAGGUGACAUAGGAAAAUGUUGAAUCAAGUGGCUGAUGUGGAGGGCACAGGGGAAAGACGGGAUGGAGAGAGAUCGAUUGAGAGACGGAGGUUGAGAUUCCUCAUUAGUAGUUCUGACUUUGGUUUCCAGCCAUCCUUGAGGCCAGAUAUGCACCCAUGAGCUUCCUGUUUAGGGGAACCAACAAUUGGAUGCUUGUCAUCAAAGGGUCCUGACUGGGUCGGCUAAAAGUCAGGACGCUAGGGAAUGCCUUCCUCAGGGAACCCAAGAAAGCAGGACUGGAGCCGUGGGUGUGGACAGGAGGAGGUAGCACGGGAGGGUCUCCAGUUAUAGUAAAAAAAAGAUCUGAAAACAAGUAAACAAACAUGCUUGUCACCAUGGAGAUGCGAACCCAUGGCCUUGGGAACAAUAGCUGUGUGUGAGCCUGGAAGUAGACCCUGCCCACACGGACAUUUAUGUUGUCAGUUCCCCCUAGAGAGGGUAACACCUCUGUCAGCCAUGGUUUCAUCAUCACUGGAAUAACUAUAACCUAAUGGCAGUUCUACUCUGUCCUAUAGGGUUGCUAUGAGUCGGAAUCGACUCGAAGGCACUGGUUGUAAUACAGUGUUUAAGGAGUACCAGGGACCUGCUCAGAGCCAACCUUUGAGGCCGCUGCAGUUUUUAUCUGGAUUCUACAAAUGAAGAAAUGGAGGCUCAGAAAAUUUCAUUUACUUGCCCAAGGUCACAGUUACUAAUGGAAGAACUGGGAUUUGAACCCAGAUCCCUGAAUAUGUACCCUUUGAACCACCAUGCUCCACUGGUAUUGAAAAAAUAGUAACAAAAGUAACUAAUACUUUAAAUGUCUUUUCUCAUUUAAACCUAUGAGGUAGAUGUUGUUGGUUGCUUUGAUUCAUGGUGAUCCCAUGUGAUAGAGUAGAACUGCCCCAUAGGGUUUUCUUGGUUGUAAUCUUUAUGGAAGUAGAUUGCCAAGUCUUUGUCCCACAGAGCUGCUAGGUGGGUUCGAACCACCAACUCUUUGGUUAGUAGCUGAGCACGUUGCACUACUAGGGCUCAUUAUGAGGUUAAUAAUAAUAAUAAUAAAACCCAAACCCAUUGCUGUCAUGCUGAUUCCAACUCAGAGAGAUCCUAUAGGACAGACCAGAACUGCCCCAUAGGGUUUCCAAGGAGUGGCUGGUGGAUUUGAACUGCCAAACUUUAGGUUAGCAGCCAAGCUCUUAACCACUGCCCCACCGGGGCUCCAUGAGGUAGAUACAACUGGUUAAUCCCAUUUUAUAGAUAAGGAAACUGAGGCACAGAGGAUUGAAGAAUCUUAUCCAAGUUCCACAGUCAGUAAGAAGCAGAGGUAUAUUUUGAGGUUAUUUUCCAGAUGGAUCUGAAAUGCUAAGGUGCCCUAAACUUAAUUUGGAAGUCCAGGAUGGGUGAUAAUUAUAAUUUCUAAAUUUGGCUCUCAUGGAUUGUGAUGUUCUUCAUGGUGGGUGUAUAUUAAAGAAACGAAUCAGGAGAGUGAACAUUGUGGACAGAGAAUCAUAACGACUUGUCUUUUACUACUGGAAAACCAUAUCCUGGAACUCACAUGUAAGUAAUUGGAAAAUGUUAAAGCAAAAGAGUGAGGUUUCAAAAACAAAAUCACACCAUUAAGUCUAAGUUAGUUCCUUGGUGAAGAAAAAAUCAGAUGUACUACUGUUCGUGGGCUGGCCGGACGUGUUACAAAUGCUGUGAUGUGGGAGUGUGUGACAAAUUUUUUUUUCAUUGAGGGCCCAUUAAAGACACGCUCAGGCUGCUUAAAUGCCCUGAAGCUAGAGAAUUGGUUCAGUAACAAAAAGCAUGAAUCAUUUUAACAUGAAGGUGCAGGGACAUUUUGCUUGAGUCAUUUCUAACUUUUUUUUCCCCCUUUUUGAAACUGUUAUAUUUAGGAUCUACUGUUAGAAAUAAAAGUGAAUUUGAAGACUGGUAGCUUACAAGCUUCAUGAGGACAGGACCUGUGCCUGUUUAUUGCUUGUUGUUGUGUGUCUCUGUGCAGUAAAACCAAAACCAAACCCUUUGCCGGUGAGUCAGUUCCAACUCAUAGCAAUACCAUAGGACAGAAUAGAACUGCCUCAUAGGGUUUCCAAGGAGGGGCUGGUGGAUUUGAACUGCUGACCUUUUGGUUAGCAGCCAUAGCUCGCUAUAGCUCUUAACUACGGCAUCACCAGGGCUCCCUGUAUACAGUAGGUACUGAAUAUUUUUAGAAUGAAUGAUGAAUCUGGGAGCACCGGGAUUCUGCUGCACACCUUGUUCACCUCAGGUGGUUGACCAAAGGCUGAUAGAAACUUCUAGCAAAAUUCCAGCUGGCUUGGGGGCUCAGAGUCAAGGGCAGAGCUCUGGUCAGCUAGACUACGUGGCCCAGUCUAAGAGGGCUAAGGGGUUUCUUCCUCCUCAGGUUCAGCCCCAAUCUCAACUGUCUUCACCCUGCCAGAAAGGGUGGCAGUCCCUCUCCACCAGGACAGGAGAGAGGAUGCUUGGGAGACAGGCAGAAGAUGCAGGAGGCAGCUCAGGGCCUGGCUUGGAGCUGAAUUAAGCCUCAGUCAGGUGUUGGCACUGAACCUGGCUGCUCCCAGGGCGUAUAGGCCAGGCAAUGGUGACCUGUCCAGGGAGACUCUGCUUCUACCCUCUAGGACCUCCAGGUCACUUCUGGGCCUCAACGGUGGAGGACUGUCAUAAUUAAGAACUAAUGUCUCUGGGUGGUGCACACCGUUAAGCCCUUGGCUGCUAAUCGAAAGGUUGGUGUUUUGAGCCCACCCAGAAACACCUCAGAAGAAAGGCCUAUCUUCUUCCAAAAAAUCAGCCACUGAAAGCCCUGUGGAGCACAGUUAUACUCAGACACAGAUAGGGUCACCAUGAGUUGCAGUCGACUCAACAGGAACUGCUUUUUUUUUUGUUUUUUAAAGUAUGCUUUAUACUUUACUAAGCACUUUAUACUUUCUCACUGUGUUAUUUUAUUUUUUUUUCAUUAGGACUUCUAUCUUACUGUUUCCCUUUCUGUUACACAGAUGUUAGGAAAACGUUAAUGCGUCUCCCACCAUUUGACAGCACAGAAUACUUUAUCUUAGUCCUUACAGGAUUCUACUAGGAUUGUGCAAUUAUUAUCCCCAUUUUAUGGGUGAGGAAAUUGGGGCUUGAAAAGAUUAAGUAACUUGCCCAACAUCUCAGUUGUCAAAACCAAAGAAGAUAGUCUGACCCUUAAGCUCCUUUUCCUUCCCUGCUGUGUCUAUGGCCCACACCCUGUCAGUGAGUUUGGGAAGGAAAGCACAGGACUUUGUUUUGUAGCAGGGUUGUUUGAUUGACUGGUUUUCCAUCAAUCAUAACGGCCUGUGAACAUGCUAAGGGUUUUGUGCUCAGUGUACCAUUUUUAUCGGGAAAGGGCCACUGCCCAUGGUAUCUCUCAUAGAUUUUUUUUUUUUUAAUGUGCUUUAAGUGAAAGUUUACAAAUCAGAUCAGUCUCUCAUACAAAAACUUAUACACACCUUGCUAUGUACUCCUAGCUGCUCUCCCCCAAUGAGACAGCACACUCUUCCUCUCUACUCUGUAUUUCUCGUGUCCAUUCAUCUAGGUCCUGUCCCCCUCUGCCUUCUCAUCUCCCCUCCAGGCAGGAGCUGCCCACAUAGUCUUACGUGUCUACUUGAGCCAAGAAGCUCACUCCUUACCAGUAUCAUUUUCUGCCUUAUAGUCCAGUCCAAUCCCUAUCUGAAGAAUUGGCUUCCAGAAUGGUUCCAGUCUUGGGCUAACAGUGAGUCUGGGGACCAUGACCUCCGGGGUCCCUCUGGUCUCAGUCAGACCAUUAAGUCUGGUCUCUUUAUGAAAAUUCGAGGUCUACAUCCCACUGUUCUGCUCCCUCAGGGAUUCUCUGUUGUGUUCCCUGUCAGGGCAGUUAUCAGUGGUAGCCGAGCACCAUCUAGUUCUUCCAGUCUCAGGCUAAUGUACUCUCUGGUUUAUAUGGCCGUUUCUGUCUCUUGGGCUCAUAUUUACCUUGUGUCUUUGGUGUUCUUCUUCAUUCUCCAUUGCUCCGGGUGGGUUGAGACCAAUUGAUGCAUCUUAGAUGGCCACUUGUUAGUAUUUAAGACCCCAGACGCCACUCUCCAAAGUGGGAUGCAGAACGUUUUCAUAGAUGUGUUUUAACAAAAGUAAUUAUAAAGUCAAUUCUCUAGGUAAAUGCAGGUAAAGUGAACUUCAGGAAAGUGAAUCUUAUUUUCCAAAUUAUUUUCUUCCUAAAAAGAAGACUGCUUCCAGGAAGCAUUAGUCACUAGGCGAGGUGUGAAGAAGACUGCAGCCUCCAGAGCGGUUAAGAGAAGAGGAAGAACAGCUACAUUUCUGGGCCUGGAAUCUGCCUUUGGCCACGUCCUACCUCCAUGCCUGGCUCUCCUGCACCCGUGGGUACUGCUCCAGGGUCUGUGCUGUUCUGUGCAGAUAUUGGCAGUGCCUUUUUGUAGUGCUGGGGUCAGGGUGUAGCAGGGGCUACUUGUCAUCUAGCCCAGGGCUUGCAAACUGACUCGCACCAAACCUAAACCAAACCCAUUGCCGUGGAGUCGAUUCCGACUCAGAGCGACCCUAUAGGACAGAGUAGAACUGUCCCCAUAGGGUUUCCCAGGAUUCGAACUGCCGACCUUUUGGUUAGCAGCCAUAGCUCUUAACCACUGUGCCACCAGGCUUCCUUGGCCUACUCAGUGGUUUAAAAGCUAGAAAGUUUUUUUUUUUUUAUAGAAAACUGGAAGUUCUGGCCAUAUUAGGUGAGAAGUCUUACACAGUAACCUUUGUCUAAAAUUGGAUAUUGGUUAUCUCUUUUGGGAGGAGGUUCCAGUAAAAGGGACAGGUUAUACCAAGUGCCUUUUACUCGUUUGUCACCUGACAGCCCCUGAAGCUUUGGUGCCACAAAGAGAAGCAUAAAAGGGCAGGGCUCUUAAACUUCAGGGAGGCAAAGAUGGAAAGGAGGGAGGGGGUCAGGGAAGGCAGGUGGGAUGGGGGCAGAGAAACCCUCCCAGCAGCCUCUCCUGCUCCCCACGAGAACAUUCCCACACAAAGGAAAUGGCAGCCAAUGAGCUGGGAAAUACCCAAGUUUAAGCUCAAAUGAUGCUGUUUACAUGUUCUUACAGGAAGGACUAUUAUGGAUUAUGGGCGAGCUGGUAAUGGGUUGUAUGUCCAUGGAGAAAAGAGGCUGAGGCGGAGGAGGCUCGGGCUAAGGGAUGGAAUGGCUCUAAACCUGGCUUUUUGCAUUUCCUGUCUUGCCACUUACAGUCUGCUUGGGGACUAAAGCCUUUGGGUGGGGGAUGGUGCUAAUCUGAGAAGGAAGGAGAUCUCUGCCUGUGUGGUUUCUGUUUCACAUUCUGAAUGUUUUAGGGCGCAGAGAGGGGUUUUCCCGUCUGAAGAGGGGAGUUAGGCUGUUAGGUGCUGUUGAGUCAAUUUCAGCUCAUGUGACACCCCAUGUGAUGGAGUGGAACUUCCCCAUAGGAUUUCCUAAGCUGUAAUCUUCACAGAAGCAGAUCGCCAGGUCUUUCUCUAGCCGAACUACCGGGUGGGUUUGAACCGCCAACCUCUCAGCUGCUGAAUGCUUAACCACUGUACCACCAGGCUUUUUGAAGAGGAGGGGGUGCCCCUUAAAGAGGAUGGGGGCCGGCAGCUCUUCCCUCUUCUGUAUAGCUAACAGGAGGGAGGGUCUGUCUUUACUGGUCUCCUGGAUGGAGGAUGGACCACAAGGAGGGGUGCCUUGCCCCAAAGAUCACAAACUUUGGACUGGCUCACAGGGGAGGUGGCUGAUUUCCUCUGGAGAUUUAAAGAGCAGAGGUGUGAUUCCCUCUGCAAUGGUGGGUGCGGCCCUGCCAGGGGCUGGGAUGGACCGAGUCUUUGUUCUAGACUAGACACCUCACCCUUACCCACAGGUAAGAUUUCUGAGACUAGAAAGGUUUAGUCUCAAAAAACGAAAAAAACCCAAACCUGUUGCCUUCAAGUCAAUUCCGACUCAUGCAGGAUGGAGUAGAAUUGCCCCAUAGAGUUUCCAAGGAGCACUCGGUGGAUUCGAACUGCUGACCUUUUACCACGAUGCCACCAGGGUUUCCAGGUUUAGUCUCAGCAGAUUAGAAGUGCUACUAGAAAAUAAAGCAUCUCUGGAACCUUUGGCUUCUUGGGCAACAAGGCAGGACUUCUUGUGUUUGCACUAGUGACUUGAGCUUCAGUGUCAGAGAGCAGAGCAAUCCUACUCCUAUUUGAAGGUGGGCUGCACGAUCGUUGACUCUCUCAAGACCCCAGAUUAAUAUACCCUAAUGUGCUGUUUAAGGAGUAGCAGUGGAGAAAGAUGUGGCAGCCUGCCUCUGUAAAGAUUACAGCCUUGAAAACCCUAUGGGCAGCUCUUCUACUCUGUCCUAUAGGGUUGCUAUGAUUUGGAAUCAACUUGACGGCAAUGGGUGGUUUUUUUUUUUUUUUUUCCAAUGUGCUGUUUGGACUCCCUGGGUGGCGCACAUGGUUAAUACACUCAGCUGCUAACACUCAGAAGCACCUUGGAAGAAAGGCCUGGUGAGCUGAAAAAUCAGCCAUUGAAAACCCUGUGGAGCACAGACCUGCUCUGACACACGAGUCACCAUGAGCCAGAGCUGACUGGACAGCAGUCGGUUUUUUUCUUCAGGUUAGUUUGCUGUUUGGAAGUGGUUACCCACAUUCUUCAGCCUCUAAAUACCCCAAAGAAGAGUAGCCCCGUGGCUGGUGUAAGGAUUAAUAGUGUUGCCUUUCAUUCUCAAAGGGGUUCCUAUUUGGACAAUAAAUCACAUGGUCACUCUACCGUGAAAGAGCAGAAAAGGCUCAGUAGAGAACUUUGUUUCGAGCAAGGGCAUUGAAAUCAAGGCAUUUGAAAAACACUACUUUUAUUUGAAUAUCUAUUUCCUCUUUUUGUAGUCUAAAUGACUUGGACAACCUUCAGAGCCUGACUGCUUGCAGGAAAGACAGGAAGAAAGUUUUGUCAUUGGGACAUUCAUUUAAAAAAACAAAAAUAAAACAAGUGGGGCUCCCCAGUCAGGGGCAGCUGCUGUGGGCUGUGGGGCUGGAAUGGACCUCAGUGCUGCCUUCUGUCACCAUAUGGUUGUGCCUUAAAGGCCACAUUUUCUAAAGGAGAGAGGACCAGAGAAGCCUGGGGCUUGAGUGUCUGGCUGCUAACCAAAAGGUCAGUGGUUCGAGCCCACCAGCCGCUCCGAGGGAGAAAGAUGUGGCAGUCUGCUUCCAUAAAGAUCGUAGCAUAGGACCCCUAAGAGGUAGUUCUGUUCCAUUCUAUAGGGUCAUUAUGAGUCAAAAUCGACUUGAAGGCAACAAGUUUUGAUGCUUCAGAGCUUGAAAUAUCCGGGAUUGUAGAUGCCCAGGCCAAAGGGCCUGAGAGUUGGAGGGAGAAGGAUUGUGCCAAGCCUUCAGUCCUGAAGCCCACCUGCUGCCCCAUCCAUGACUACAGUUCAUUGCACAGAGUGGGGAUUUGGGAUCGGGAAAACCUCUGCUCUAGUCCCACGUCUGCCACUUACUGGCAGAGCAACCUACGUCUGCCACUUACUGGCAGAGCGACCUACGUCUGCCACUUACUGGCAGAGUGACCUAUAGCAAAAAGUUUUCCUCUUUCAGCCUCAGUUUCAUCUGUAAAAUGGGGAUGGUGCUGUUUCCUAUCUUCGGGGCUUCUGUGAAAACCAAAUGGAAGACAAUGGGUAUGGGUUAAGCUGGGACAGGCUAUGCCAGUUGAGGGUUGGCAUGUUGUCUGUGUGUGGUCACAAGGACUGCUGUUGCCUGUGGACAAAAGGGGUAGUAACCCUCGACACCUUUAUACCAGGGAACGCACGACAGAUGGGCUUUUGUGCACUCUCUUCCCAGCGCUGUCAGCAGCUGACAGGUUCAGUGAGGCUCUACCAGAGUGUUCAAGUAGCUUUUCCUGACACAGGUCUUUCUGCAGAUUCUGUCCCAUGCUGCUAACCACAAACUUCUCUGGGGACAUAUCUUUUGAUAACAUGAAGCUGGCACAGCUGUAGAAAGAGGUUUUAUGGCAGUAUUUUUUGUAAUUUGAAAAAUGGCAUAGUGGCUGGCACAUAGGAGUAUUCAUUCAUUCAUUCAAUCACCCAAUAUGUAUGUCUUAAAUCCUUACAGCUCUGUGCUAGGUACUGGAGCUAAUGGGGGAUGGGGAGGGGUGAACAUGGUAUCUGCCUUGAUCAUGGAACUUGUCUGCAGGUGUUGUAAGUAACUUGUGAUCUGUUAAAGAAAAGAAUAGACUAAGAGACCAAAGAUUCAGCACUGAGUGGUAGCAUUUUACUGCCAAGUGGGGAGCCCAGUCUAACAGAGGGUUUCGUUCUGAGGGGCAAGGUGUUGGGUGGGGGCAGGAAUGUGGCAGAUCUUCCAUAGUCAAAAGCUCAGGCUCUGUGUAGCAGGCGGUAUCUGGGUUUGUCAGUGAGGUGGGCACCUGGCUGCCUGGAGGUGGGCUUCGGGGGAUGAGGGCUGCCCCUUGGCAUCGUAGUGCCCGCUGCCCCUGCUGUACCCAUGAUAUGUCCUAUGACACCCAGUCAGGGUUAUGACACUCAUUGAGAUCUGCACUGGUAUUGGCAGGCUAGGUGGCCAGGUCAGGGCAUGUCCCCAUUAAAAAUAAUUACAAUAAUGUAGAAACAUGAAAUAUAUGAAAUAAUAAAUGAAAGGAAUAGAACAUAAAAGAUCCCAAUGGUGGUAUCUAGAAAUCCUUUGGUAACAUGUGACAGAAACUCAAAUCUAACUCCUUAAACAAUGAUGAGAAUAAUGGACCCAUGUGUCUUGGAAUCUAGGGGUAUUUCUGGACUUUUGGAUCCAAGGAUUCAAACAAUGUCUCCCCCUCCCCUCACCCCAGGUUCUUUCUCUCCAUCUCUCGGCUCUGCUUGUCUCUCCUUGAGCUCAAUUUUUGGUUGGAUCAGGGGGUCAAAUAACAGCUUAGCAACCACAGUGCAAAGAGAGCAUCUUUUCUGAAAACCAGCAGAAAUAACCGGGAAAGGACCCUUUUUGGCCAGAUGGUAUCACCUGCUUGCCCCAUGGCUGGGGUUGGGGGAGGGAAGGACAUUGGGACCAUGUGGAAUGGUUGUUACCGGGAGAGGAGGGAGGAAUGCUAAACAAGUGAAAACCACAACUGCCCAUUCCAGUUGCAUCGGGCAAAUCUGCUGCAGAAGACCACUUUAAAGUGUUCAAAAGCAAAAAUGUCACUUUGAGGACUAAGGUGCGCCUGACCUAAGCCAUGGUAUUUUUUAAUUGCCUCAUAUGCAUGGGAAAGCUGGACAGUGAAUAAAGAAGACCAAGGAAGAAUUGAUGCAGUUGUGGUGAAAAAUAUUGAAUGUACCACAGACUGUCAGAAGAACAAACGUGUUUUGGAGGAGGUACAGCCAGAAUGCUGUCUAAAAGCAAGGAUGGUGGGACUUUGUCUCAUGUAUUUUGGACAUAUUAUCAGGAGGGACCAGUCCCUGGAGAGGGACAUCAUGCUUGGUAAAGUAGAGGGUUAGUGAAAAAGAGGAAGACCCUCAACGAGAUGGACUGACACAGUGGCUGCAACAAUGAGUUCAAAUAUAGCAACAAUUGUGAGGAUGGGGCAGGACCAGGUAGUGUUUCAUUCUGUUGUACAUAGGGUCACUGUGAGUCGGAACAAAUUGGAUGGCACCUAACAAAUGGUUAACACGUUUGGCUAACAGAAAGGUUGGAGAUUGGAGUCCACCCAGAGAUGCCUUGGGAGAAAGGCCUGGUGAUCUGCUUCCAAAAAAUCAGCCAUUGAAAACCCUACAGGGCAGAGUUCUACCCUGACCCACAUGGGUCACCAUGAGUCAGCCUUGACUUGGCUUUUUAGUGCUCCUUCACAAAUUAAUCUAUUGAAGAUACCAGUCAUGGUCCAGCCAGGCAACCAGCAAGUGGGAUCCAGAAGGUACAACAAGAUGGGCCGUUCAGAACGUCAGCUAGUAUAGUUUUGUCUCGUCAGUUUUGGCAACACAUAUAGUUAUGUCACGAAUUUUGGAUUAGCACAGUAUUCCUAGUUGAGGUUUAAAGCUCCCUCCUGUACCUUCCAAACCAGGUGUUGCUUAAGAUUGAAAACAUUCAUUGUUUGGUCAACAGAGGCCCUCACAGCUCUGGCUGGAAUGUCACCUGAGAAGGACCCGUCUCCUCACAGAUUUGCAUUUCAGCACCUUCAGACUCCGCUCCAGCCAGCUGCUGUUUUAAUUGGCACAGAGGGACUGGCUGAGGGCCCCCUUGGGGUCCAUACCAGAUCCGAGUAUGAGGCUGGGGUCCUGGGAUCAGUCCACGCACUGGCCUGGGGAGACAGACUCCCUGACCCUCUUAUUUUCUGCAGAUGUUUUAGGUGAGGCCUGAAGACUGCAGGGGUGCCAGGUCUGACCAUCUGAUUCCAGGCCUCUCUUCCCCAGACUAGCGAAGGGCGGAAACUCUGAGAACAUUCCAUUUGAAUAAGAUGCAUUUAAUAAGAGCAAUGGAAAAUGGUAAACCUGGCUUGAGGAAAGGGAAUGUGCUCUUUCAUGUAGAACAAACAAACAAAAAAUGUGGCUGUGGGAGGCAUCCAAAAAAUAAGAUGACCUGGAGGCUGGAUUUGAAAAUUGGCACCGAGGGAAAUCUCAUUUCCACAGUUGAUGACUCUCCCUUCAGCUAUGUUCAUGCCAGUGGAGCAAACCAAAAUAACUUAAUAAAUUAAAGUUUAUAUAGUCAGGAAAGCUACGCCUGGAAUAUCACACACUAGAUGAAAACCUUGAAGGUUUUUUUUUCACCACUGACAUCCUUGGUUUGAAGGUUAAUGGUGUCUGGAGAAAGUUAGAUUAUGCGCAUAUGUAGUUUAAAAAAAAAUGACUGUUGAUUGUCAAAGAGAGACAGAGCUGUGUUUACUUACUAUAGUUUAUGCCACCGUUGUUUGUUUGUUUGUGGUUCCCUCUGGAAAGAAUGUCUUUGUCCUGCGGUAAUUAAUUGUAACCAGCUUUUGUUUAGAUUGGGUACAUGGAAGCUGCUCCUCCAAGUGCCCGAACUAUGUUGGCAAGUGAUGUUUUGUAACUUGGACCUCCAUUUUUUUUUUUGUUUUCUCUUCAUUUUAUUAUACAAGUAAUAGAAGGAUGCAUUUGGGUUGUAAAAGGUUCGAAUUAUAGAGCAGCAUGGGAACACAGGAAAACGUGAAAGUCCCCUCACUGCCAUACCUCACUACCUCCUUGACAGGUGACACUGGUGUGCUUCUUCCCAUAAGCUGACUGUUGGUUGACUAAUGACAUAGGGUUAUUAUGUACAUAUUGUUGCACAACUUGUUUUUUUCACUUAACGUGUCCAGAGUACCUUCUAGUCAGUACGUGUGUGUAUAUGUAUCUCUACCGAUUGUGAAGAUGGCACAAGACUGGGCAACGUUUCACUGAUAUACAUAAGGUCGCCAUGAGUUGGAGCUGACUUGAUAGCAGCUAACAACAACAAUAAACCAACCUGUUGCCGUUGAGUCGAUUCUGACACAUGGUGACCCUAUGGGACAGAGAAGAACUGUUUCUAAGGAGUUGGCUAGUAGAUUUGAACUGGCGGCCUUUUCGUAAGCAGCCAUAGCUCUUAACUACUGCGCCACCAGGGCUCCAAGAACAAUAGCAUGUAUGCAUGUGUGUAUAAAAGGAGCCCUGGUGACGCAAUGGUUAAGCGUUCGGCUUUUAACCUAAAGAUUGGUGGUUUGAACCCACAAGCGGCUCCAUGGGAGAAAAGACCUGGAGAUCUGUUCCCAUAAAGAUUGCAGCCUAGGACACCCUAUGGGGCAGGUCUGCUGUGUCACAUGGGAUCACUACAAGUUGAAAUAGACUUGAUGGCAUACAGCAACAACGUGUGUGUAGAACUUUUUUAAUGCUGCAAAGCAUUUCAUAAUAUGGAUGCCUGAUUUAUAUGAACAUUUCCCUACCUUAUUUUUUUUUGCUAUUGAAUGAGGCAAUAAUAGUGUGAGAUGAUGAGUAUGCUCUCUGGAGCUAGCCUGACUGGCUUUGAAGCCAGACUUUGCUCACAAGCUGAAUGACCUAGGGCAUGGGCUGGCAAACUAUGGCUCUUGGUCCAAAUACACCUACCUCAUGUUUUUCUGUGGCCUGCAAGCCAAGAAUGAUUUUUGUGGUAUCAAAUAGUUGGAAAAAACCCAAAAGAUUUCCUGAUAUAUGAAACUGAUAUGAAAUUCAAAAUUCAAUAUCCACAAAUAAAGUAUUAUUGGAACAUAGCCACAUUUGUUUGUUUACUUAUUGUCUGUAGCUGCUUUUAUGCUACAACAAGGCUGGGCAGUGUUUCAUUCUGUUAUACAUAAGGUUGCCAUGAGUCGUUGUAGCACCAGAACCAGUCCAGCUUUACGGGAGAUAAUGGUCAGAAUCGGUCCAAAGCUGAUUCCUAUGAGGUAGAGGUCAGACAUACCUUCACUCCAACCCUUUUACCAGUUCUGACAGGAGCUGUCCCUUCCACAGCACUCUCUACUCUUCUGUGUUUGAUAAUCUGUUUCAGUGGCCACACAGAACUCACGGACUAUACUUAACAGUUAAGUGGUUUAUUAAGAAUGUAACAGGGUAAAACUCGGGAUCAGCAUCAGCAGGCUACAACUUGGGAUCAAGGUCAGGAAGCAUGCAGGCAAAGUCUUCUUCAGUGUAGGACCACUCUUUCAGCUCCUCUCAACCAUGCAGGCCUCCAGUUGAUCCCCUGAGGACAGGCCCCUUCUUGGCCCCCAGAGGACAGGCCGCCUCUCGGCCCCCUGAGGACAGGCUCCUCUCAACUGUGCAGGCUUCCUCUCAGUCCCCUGAGGACAAGCUUCUCUUGGCUCUGCCAUCUGUCACCACUGACUCUGCCACAGGGCCCCUUCCUGGCCUGUCACAGCAGGCUCUGUUGCUGGGCCCCUUCUGGGCCUCUCACUGCCUUCAGUGUUACAGCCCUUGACCCAUGUUACCAGCUCUUUUAGGAGAUUCCUUGCCGCCUCUCUCCCUGUUUCUUCUCUCUUCCUUCUUUCUUCUGCUUCUUUCUGUCUGAAAAACCCAUGUGGAGUUGGCUGCGUUUAUACGCAACUCCGUGUCGGUUUCAAGGCAUGGUCCCUCCCAGUGGCGGGGGGGAAGGCACAAACUAACCAAUCCCCUCUCGGUAGGCCACAGAAACUUCAUUUGCAUAGUAGGCUAUAGUCACCCUAUUUGCAUAGUCUAUUGACCAAUCCCUGCAAGGUACGUACCAAACACAGGACAGGCUGCAGCCCAGGACCAGACAAAAAGUAUCAAACCAAGUUGUUUAGUUACCCAGGAAAUGUAACAAACCCUCUGGGGUACAAAACUAGGGCAAAGGUAAUUCCUCAGGGCUUAGGGGAAAAAUCCCUCUCAAGCUGUUUUUCCAAGGAACUAAGGCAAAAGCCACACAAAGGAACUCAUUUCACCACGUCAGCAGAGUGAAGAGUUGUGACAGAGACCAUAUGGCCUGCCAAAAAUAUUUACUCUUUAGUCCUUAGUCCUUUACAGAAAAAGUUCGCUGGUUCCUUACCUAGGGCAAGUUAUCACCUAUGUCUCAAGUUUCUCUUCUGUAAGAUGGAGAUAAUAAUAAUAUCACUUUGUAGGGCUGAGGGAGCCCUGGUGACCCAGUGGUUGAAGUGCUCAGCUGCUAACUGAAAGGUCGGCUGUUUGAGCCCACCAGCCGCUCUGUGGGAGAAAGAUGUGGCAGUCUGCUUCAGUAAAAAUUACAGCUUUGAAAACCCUAUGGGGCAGUUCUCCUUGCCCUAUGGGGCUGCUGUGAGUUGGAAUCGACUGGAUGGCAAUGAGUUUUUUGUUUUUUUUUUUAGUUUUGUAGGGUUACUUAAGUGAGUUAAUUCACAUAUCAAAUAUCCCAUGUCAGAUAUUCCAGAUGCAUCAUGAAUCAACUGUACACAUAAAUUCCAUGUAAAACACUUAAAAAAAACCCAAACCUGUUGCUGUUGAGUUGAUUCCGAUUCGUAGUCAAUUCUGACUCAUAGCGACCCUAUAUGAUAGAGUAGCUGGUGGAUUCAAAUUGCCAACCUUUUGGUUUGCAGCCAAGCUGUUAACCACUGUACCACCAGGGCUCCAUGUAAAAUGCUUAGAACUUUUUAAAUGCUCAAUAAAGGUUUAUUACACAUCAUUUUUAUCGUAACUCUUUGAGCAUAUGUGCAAGGGUAUCAUAAAUACUCUGAAGUCCAUUUGGUGAUGAGGGUAUGCUGAUAGUGUUACCAAAUUGUCUUCCAGAAUGACUUUACCAAUUUAAGUCCCACUGAUGGAAUCUCUUGCUUUCCCAUAUUCUUGACAGUUUUGGAUAGGGGCUCAAGGUACAGAUACGAAAACCGAGUCUUGGAAAAGUUGAGUGCUGACCUCCAAUAUAGGCUCCCAGAGCAGAUAUCCCUUUGGGGUGCUCUGCCCAGACCGCUGCGCUGGAUCCCCUUCGAAGGCUGUUCCCAAAUCAGGAUACUGUCACCAUUUGUGGCGUGAGGGCCUCUUCUGUGCCAACCACUUAACCCGUAAAAUCUCACGUUCAGCUUUCACAGCCACCCAUUUUACAGAUGAGGAAACUGAGGAGCUCAGAGAAGUUAAAUAACUUCACAAAGCUAAUAACUGCCAAACUGGGGUCCCAAAAAACUCUCUUCCUGUCAACUCCACUCUCCCUGCCUCCAGGAAAGGACAAGGAGAUCUCAGACACACCACAUUUUCCGCCUGCGCUUUUCCGAGUCAGCAUCUCAAUAACUGGGUAAGAGUGACAGGAAAAAUUUGAAGUGGUUUUGUCAUGGCCCAUGUUCUUCGUCUCUUGAUUUAAGUAGAGAGAAUUUGUAAUAUCUUCUACGCUAUUUCUCGCAGCCAGGGCCACAGUCUGUGCUGCUUAGUCAUACCAAGGGUGAUGCAGUUCUAAGAGAUAGCCCUGCUUUGGGCAAAAUGUCUAUUUUUAGGUGUCUCCGUGUGCUCUUGUCAAAGGCCUUUGCAACGGCGUUUCUCAUACCCUGUCGGCUGGUCUGCAAAACGCGAAGCAAAUUUACCCAGAUAUUCUUGACCUUGGACAUGAGGGGAAAAAUGUUUCUGGUUUUGCUUGUGUCUUCAGUGACGAACAUUAGCAUUCUUUCCUCCCCUCCCUUUUUUUUUCUCACGUUGAGAUGAAGAAACAACAAUAACCAAAUGCUGCUUGCCCCCAAACCGUUUGAAUUGAGGACUUGGGAUCUCAGCAUGCUCAGACAGUAGUCUUCUGUGAGGAAUGUGCAGCAUUUGACAGAAUUUCCAGGAGGAAUGAAGAACUGAGAGUCACUGAUUAAAACCAUGUUAAAACAAAGAACAAGCUAGGUCCUGUCACAGUGCUUCUGAUUUACUCAGAUGAAAAAGAGGACAUGUGUUGGGUGUUGAUCAGCAUCACCGAAGUGUCUCUGUGAUGCGUAAACUUAGAGCACGCUCAGCUUCCUCGUAAGCCUGUCUCACCGUGAGCUGUUUCCCCAGAAGGCUGGCUUGCCUUCCAGCAGUUUACUUACUGAGAGUCAUCACGAGAGGGGAAAAGCCACAGUUUCCAUUUUGAUAGGUUGUGAACAUUUAUCUGGGUUUGUAAUUGUCCUUGUCGUUAGCUGCUGUUGAGUCACCUCUGACUCAUGGCAACCUUAUGUACAACAGAACAAAACAGUUGCCAGGCCUGCGCCAUCUUCAUGAUCUUUUGGUAUAUUUGAGCCCUUUGUUGUGGCUGUGGUAUAGUGCCUUCUUCCAGCACUAUAUCAGGUAGUAUUCUGUUGUGAUCUCUUGGCUAAUAUCUAUGGCAGUAGAUCGCCAGGUCCUUCCUUCUAAUCUGUCUUAGUCUGGAAGCUCCGCUGAAACCCAUCCACCACUGGCGACCCUGCUGGUAUUUGAAAUACUGGUGGCACAGCUUCCAGCAUCAAAGCAACAUGCAAGACACCACAGUACAACACACUGCCAGACGGGUGCUGAUCAUUGCCCUACUCCCAUGUUAUUUUCUUGUUAUCAUGUAGCACAAUGAUGAAAGCUGUCUGGGGGAAAGCAAAUAAAAGAAAAACCUUCUUCCAAAAGCUAUGCAUCUAGAGCAGGGUUCUCAACUUGGCACUAUUGACAUUUGGGGCUAGAUAACUCUUUGUUCUUGGGGGGCUGUCGUGUGCAUGGUAGGUUGUUUAGCAACAUCCCUGAUCUCUACCCACUCUAUACCAGUAGCAUUUCCAUAGAUAGGACAAUCCAAAAUGUCUAUAGACAUUGCCAAAUGUCCCCUGAGGAGCAAAAUCGCCCUGGUUGAGAACUACUGGCCUAGAUCUUGGUAGCCUCGAGUUUGUACCCUGCUCUUCCACCCUGAGGGACUGGCUGUGUGUAUUUCCACCCUCAGCCCCUCCAGGAAUGGGAAUGUGGUCCCAUCCUCACUGCCUUGAGCUGGCAAGGUAAAUGAAGUCAGACAUAUGACUGGGAGUGAAGCAAGCAUUCUCUCUGGCGAAGACACACCCAUGCACCAUCUCAGGUUUGGCAUUUCAGUGGAAAACAAGUCACAUAAGGUGGCAGAUAUACACUGCUCCCACCUCGGUGGUCUCAGCAGCCCCCUGGACCCUGCCAGGUCUGUGGAAAAGAGGGACAAGCUUGCCCCUUUAAAAAAAAAAAACUAGAAGCGUAGCUCAUAGGUGCAGCUGUUGGGUUUGUAGACCCAACUGACUGAGUCAGAGCACCUCGGCAGGUUCCCUGAAGUACUCAGAGGGUGUGGCGCUUCACAGGCUGGCCUGAGUGCCAGGCUCUGUCUUCUGUCCACACAGAGUUCACCAUAGACAUGGCGCGUGUGGCCAGCGCUUUCUUCAGUUUGGCUCCGGGCAGCCAGACUCAGUCAGCUCUUGGGCGGAUGAAAGCCCUGAGCGUGAACUUUUUUGAACGAUGACACAAUUCUGGAAAAAUGCAGCAUCUCCGAAGAAGGUUCUGGAGCUUUGCCUGGGGAUGGGGACCUUGAGAGUGUUUAGCAUUUAGGCUGUUGGCAGUUCCUUGCUUCAGAAGUGUAUGUUUGCGUGGGGGGGUGGGGAGGGGAGCUGUGCAUGUUUUCACAGGGCAUACUUAUUUUCAGAAGCUCAUGUGGACCCUUUCUGAGAGUUCCCUGGGCGGGAGAAGAAAGUACAGAGAGCUGUGACACCUGAUGGGAAAUAUGACAACUUUAUCAAGAGGGCUGACGUGUCUCUGCUGACUCUUGCCUCUAAACCAAACCAAACCAAACCAUGGCAGUGGGGAAGCCACGUGGGGAAGGCUGCACUGGUGACCGUCCACCUGACAUGACACUCUUAAUUCUGAGCACCUUUGAAAAAGGCUUUCAGGAUCAUUGAUGUGUGAGUUAGAGGGGGCCUGAAAGGUCAUCUUGGCCAAGUACUCCAUUUUAAAAGAAGAGGAAACGGAGGGUCAGAGAAGGCCCAUGACCCACCCAGGGUCACAAAGCUAGAAUUUGAAUCCUGUGUGCUGAUGCCCAGGACAGGGUUUUGUCCGUUCUGUCCUACUUUGGUUUUUCAGACAGUACAUUGUGACAUGUUUUAGAUAGCACGUCUUUUCCCCUCUGAUCUUACUCCUUCACCAGCUACAAAAGUCAACCAUUGUUCCAGGUGUUGGGGAUACAGUGCUAGCCCUGGUCCUUGUGCUCAGCGGGAUGACGGUCAAGUAGGGAAGAAAUUCCAAGUGGAAUGCAAGCAAGAUAGCAGGGCAGUGCCAGUGGGUGGCCCUGGCCUGUGGGGAGCAGUCAGUGGAGGUCAGAGAGCAGAUGCAGGAGGAGUAGGAGUUGAUGGCUGGGGAACUGAGCCUGUCAAUUCGGUUUCAGACCCUGGUCAGGUGCUGAGCCCAGCACUCUGUGUGUGGCCGACUCUGAACGGCUCCUUCCCCAGGAGGAGGUGGGAUUCAAAGGCAGAAGCUGCUCUGGAUCAGGCAACAUGGAAAGCAGAGAGAGACUGAAAAAGUGGGAGCACCGGGACAUAGGAUGUAUUUUGUAAUUAAAAAAAUGUAAAAAUGCUAGAAGCAGUCGGGUGUGUGUGUAUGUGCAGGUAAGGCCUGGAAUGGGAGGGGGCUGGGAAGUGGCCAGUGCAAAGCCUCCAGGCCUCCUGGGAACUGGAGGAGAGAGGGACCUGCAUGUAGGACAAGGAUUUCCAAAGGAGGCCAAAGCACAGGCUUCCAGAAUGACAGUGGCUCUGGCUGGAGGCCGCACUUUUCUCAGGGGUAGGUGGGGCCAGGCCUUUUCUGCUUGGAGACAAGACAGCAGGAUGCUUGUGGCCAGCAGGAUGGAAGCCAUGUUGGUGUGCUGUAGGAGGCUCAGGCCAAGUGGAAGCUUCCGGGAGGGCCCCUCUGCCCUGUGAUAGUCCCUAGGGUGGACCUGGGAGACAUUGUUCAUGCCUCACCCAACCCCUAGCCUCUGAGCCCUCUCCCCUUUGCCGAAGGGCUCCUUGGGGUUCAGAGAACUUAGGAUACCUGCCUGAGGUCACACAGCAAGGUUACAGCCAGGCCCUGCUGCUUCUUGCGCGGAUACUUCUCUGGCACACGGCUGGAGGGAGGAGGCACUGUCCCUCCCCAGCGCCCCCAGGCUGUCUUCCUCUGACUCCCUGCAGUGUCAGUGUCUCUGGUAACGAGUAUUUUGCCUUUGGGUACCUUUCUUUUUUUAAAAUUGAGAUAUAAUUCACAUAUCAUAAAAUUCACCAUUUUUAAGUAUGAAUUCUGUGGUUUUUAUCUUAUUCCUUAGGUUGCACAACCAUCCCAACUGUCUAAUACCAGAAUGUUUUCAUCACCCCAAAAAGAAACCCUGUACCCAUUAGCAGUCACUCCCCUUUGCCCCUCCCCCAUCUCCUGACCCCCCCCCCCCCCCCGCAACCAUUAAUCUGCUUUUUGUUUCUACGGAUUUGCCUAUUCUGGAUGUUUCACAUAAAUGGAAUUAUACAGUAUGUGGCUUUUUGUGUCUGGCUUCUUUCUCUUAGCGUCAUGUUUUCAAGGUUCAUCAUGUCAUAGCACGUAUCCCUGCUUCAUUCCCCUUUAUGACCGAAUUCAUUAUAUGGAUAUACCACGUUUUGUUUGUCCAUCCAUCAGCUCAUGCGCCUUUCAUUUUAACUUCGAUUAUGGCCACCUGGUGUCUCCCUGAGUUCCCCAUCCUUCUGUGGUGAGUGUUUGCAAGUUGUUUCUGAUUUCUUUAAUGGGAACUGUAGCCCAAAUCUUCCAUCUGGUAGGCUGGCUGUAUUAAUCAGGUGUCUUCAUUAUCUAGUGCUGCUAUAACAGAAAUGCCACAAGUGGGUGACUUUCACUGACAGAGAUUCAUUUUCCGAUGGUUUAGGAGGCUAGAAGUCCAAAUUCAGGCUGCUGGCUAUAGGGGAAGGCUUUUCUCCCUCCGUUGGCUCCUUGGUUAUCUUCAUGUGGAAUGGCAUCUGUUUUCCCCCUCCCCCUCUCUACUUUUUGCUGCUUGCUUAGUCUACUCUUUUGUAUCUCAAAAGAGAUUGACUUAAGACACAGCCUACACUAAUGCCGCCUCAGUAUAACAAAGAAAACCCAUUCCCAGAUGGAAUUAAACCACAGGUAAUGUUGUUGUCCUUGUCCUCCAGUCAGCUCUAACUCAUAGCAACCCUGUGUACAACAGAAGGAAACACUGCUCGGUCCUGUGCCAUCCUCACAAUCGUUGUUACGCUUGAGCCCAUUGUUGGAGCCACUGCGUCGAUCUGUCUCGCUGAGGGUCUUCUUUUUCUCUGACCCUCUUCUUUACCAAACAUGAUGUCCUUCUCCAGGGACUGAUCCCUCCUGAUAACACGUCCACAGUAUGUGAGACGUAGUCUUGCUGUUCUUGCUUCUGAGGAGCAUUCAGGUUGUACUUCUUUCAAGACAGAUUUGUUUGUUCUUUUGGCAGCCCAUGGUAUAUUCAAUAUUCUUCACCAGCACCGCUGUUCAAACGCGUCAAUUCUUCUUCAGUCUUCCUUAUUUAUUGUCCAGCUUUCACAUGUAUGUGAAGCAAUGGAGAAUACCUGUGGUUUGCAUCAGGUGCACUUUAGUCGUCAAGGUGACAUCUUUGCUUUUCAACACUUUAAAGAGGUCUUUUGCACUAGAUUUGCCCAAUGCAAUGCGUCCUUUGAUAUCUUGACUGCUGCUUCCAUGGACAUUGAUUGUGGAUUCAAGUAAAAUGAAAUCCUUGACAGCUUCAAACUUUUUUCCAUUUAUCAUGACGUUGCUUAUUGGUCCAGUUGUGAACAUUUUUAUUUUCUUUAUUUUGAGGUGUAAUCCAUACUGAAGGCUGCAGUCUUUGAUCUUCAUCAGUAAGUGCUCAAGCUCUCUGCACUUUCAGCAAGCGAGGUGUGUCAUCUGCAUAACGCAGGUUGUUAAUGAGUCUUCCUCCAAUCUUGAUGCCCUGUUCUUCUUCUUAUAGUCCAUCUUCUCGGAUUAUUUGUUCAGCAUACAGAUUGAAUUAGUACGGUGAAAGGAUACAACCCUGACGCACACCCUUCCUGACUUUAAACCAUGCAGUAUCCUCUUUUUCUGUCCGAACCGCUGCCUCUAGAUCUAUGUACAGGUUCCUCAUGAGCACAAUUAAGUGCUCUGGAAUUCCCAUUCUUCACAAUGCAUAUAUGUGUGGGAGAGAAAGAUAUUUAUUGUAAGGAAUUGAGUCACAUGGCUGGUAAGUCUAAAAUCCAUGUGCCAGGGAGACAAGAACCUCCAGCGAGAGGGAAACCUCAGUUUUUGCUCUUAAGGCCUUCAGCUGAUUGGACAAGGACCACACACAUUAUGGGGGGCACUCUCCUAAAAGUCAACUGAUUGUAAAUGUUAAUCAUAUUUAAAUACCUUCGUAGCAACAUCUAGACUAGUGAUUGACCAAACGACUGGGCAUCAUAUUCCAGCCAAGUGACAGCCGUGUGUUGCGAGUCUUCCUUUCCAGCCACAUCUAGGCCAUGAUGAAGACAGGUGGUAGCAGGACUAGCACAAGAUGCAGGUUUCAGGGCCCUUGCUUCGAGUAUUGCCUUCAUCGAUUUUCCCCCAUUAUUUAAUUAAGUUGUAAUCAACAUACAGUUAAAUUCUCCAUUUUUAAGGGCACAAUUCUGCAUAUUUUAACAAAUGUAUAAUAGAAAAAAAUAAAAGGAAGGAAGCUAAUAGAGAGUGUUUGUUACUAAGAAAGUUGCCAUUUUGGGCAACUGGCACUCAGUCCUCUGGGGAACUCAGGUAAGCAGUAUAGAACAUACACCUCAGACUUCUUCCACGUGAGGGUCCAGGGAGCUGGGCUUUUAUAAGCCAUUUCCCAUCAGUCAUUGGUCUCAUUAACACCCAGAUGUUCUGGAGCAUCACUGUCUAAUAGAACCUUCUGUCAUGAUGGAAAUAUUAUCUCUCUGCACUGUCUAACACUAGUAAGCACUUGAGAUGUGGCAAGUGCAGCUAAGCCCAGACCCAGUGCUGUUGAGUUGAUUCUGACUCAUAGUGACUCUGUAGGACAGAGCAGAACUGCCCCAUAGGGUUUCCAAGGCUGUAAAUCUUUAUAAAAGCAGACAGCCACAUCUUUCUCCCAUGGAGCAGCCGGUGGGUUAGAACUGGUGACCUUUUAAUUAGCAGCUGAGCACUCUAACCACCAUGCCACCAGCACUCCCUAUUGCAAUUAAAGAACUGAAUUAAUUUAAUUUAAUUAAGAUUUUCAUUCAUAUAGCCGCGAGUAGCUAGUGGGCUGGACAGCGAAUUUCCAGAAUGUGAGCCUAGAAGGGGGCUGGGCUUGUCCUCUUCUCUCCAGUAUAUAUCCUCUUGAGAUCAAUUAAAAAAAAAAAAAAAAUCUGAUUCAGAGUCUUUGUGAUUCUGAAUCUUUUAAACUCUUACCAUCUGCUUCAGAAAUGGGAAGUGUAAUCAUUUUAGGCAACGAAGUUAAAAGUGACCCAAGGAUAUGUUGCCAUUCCUUUUAUGAAGCUGCCGCUGAAAUCGUCACAUUUUCACUCUCAGAUACUUAUUUUAAUUGCGUAGCUCGCCCUGACAUGUGUGCCACCCCGAUUUCGUGUUGUCAAACGUGUGCGAGUUACCGAUUUUUCCCCUGGAAGCUGGAGGCAUGGGGCAGGUGGAGGGCCUACCAGGAAGUGGCGCUGAAGUCGUCUCUUGGAAUUUGGAUGCACAAGCGGUGUCCCUGAUGGCAGCUUCAGUGUGGGUUUCUGAAGCUGGAACCAAGUUAGGUUCUGUACAGCCCAGAGAUGAUAGACUUUCAUAUUACUUUGCUUUAGCUUCGGAAAAUGACUAGAAACGCCUGAUUAAAAUUAUUUUGGAGCCAUUUCAGCGGGAUAAGGCUUCAAGGUGCACUGCACAGGGAAUCGAGACCAGGGUUCUUACUCAAGCUAUGCCACUGAUCUGCUUGCUUUGUGACCUGCAGCAAGUAACCACACUUUCCUGAGCAUUGCUUUCUGGUUUGUAAAUAAGGAGCUUUGGUUAAAUCUGCAUUUUGCAAGUGCUUUGUGGAAUAGCAUUCCAGAAGAUGGUAAUAGACGUAUCUGAGAAAGAGAGUUCCAUGGUCAAAUACUUAAGCAACUAUCUCCUUAGAUAUUCACAGUGCACAUUCAUAUAAUAAAGGCUCUGAGAAGUCCUGCAGAGGACUAAAAAACAUCUUUUUACUUUGUAGAAAUCAGGUUUCCCAACUUAU
Long non-coding RNA from Loxodonta africana (African savanna elephant), 38524 nucleotides. RefSeq lists it as uncharacterized. The transcript is spliced from 2 exons. Lineage: Eukaryota; Metazoa; Chordata; Mammalia; Proboscidea; Elephantidae. The record is from RefSeq and is a predicted model, not a curated record.